Molecule: ribosomal RNA, 377 nt
Filed under: uncultured bacterium
Lineage: Bacteria
Description: bacterial SSU rRNA
Rfam family: Bacterial small subunit ribosomal RNA
Source: RNAcentral
UAAUACAGAGGGUGCAAGCGUUAAUCGGAAUUACUGGGCGUAAAGGGCGCGUAGGUGGUUGACUAAGUCAGAUGUGAAAUCCCUGGGCUUAACCUAGGAAUUGCAUUUGAUACUGGUCGGCUAGAGUAUGGUAGAGGGAAGUGGAAUUUCAGGUGUAGCGGUGAAAUGCGUAGAUAUCUGAAGGAACACCAGUGGCGAAGGCGGCUUCCUGGACCAUUACUGACACUGAGGCGCGAAAGCGUGGGGAGCGAACAGGAUUAGAUACCCUGGUAGUCCACGCCGUAAACGAUGAGAACUAGAUGUUAGGGGGCUUAGACCUCUUAGUAUCGCAGCAAACGCGUUAAGUUCUCCGCCUGGGGAGUACGGCCGCAAGGUUA